Long non-coding RNA from Camelus dromedarius (Arabian camel), 214 nucleotides. RefSeq lists it as uncharacterized. The transcript has 3 exons. NCBI's taxonomy places the organism in Eukaryota, Metazoa, Chordata, Mammalia, Artiodactyla, Camelidae. The record is from RefSeq and is a predicted model, not a curated record.
CAGGAUUCUGCCACAUAUUCCUUUACCUGAAUAUUUCCUAGAUCUGCUCUUCACACUUGCCUGUUGCGUACAGAGGUUGGAUAUGCCCGUGGAGAAUGAUGGUGCAUUGCUGGAAGCUUCAUCUGAUGGUUACUCCUAUAGCAGCUGCAGUUUCCAGAUGCGGUCUCUUGAUGGGAACAAAGACCGGACUUGAUUGACUUCUAGUAAACCCUAG